GUCGACGCAUGGUUUGCUUGGAAUUCCUGGCUAUGUACAGUUCACCUCCCAUAUUUGAAGAUAUGUCAACCUGCUAGCUCAGGAAAGACAUGCAAGAGGACGAGGAACCAUGAAGUCGGCGGUUUACGUCAACGGGAUAUUUUGUGUAAUGGUGAUAGAUUCAUUGGAGAUGCAUUUUACCUAUCAUUUUGUACACCCACAUUGUGUCUGGGACAAUGAACCAUAAUGUAUUCAUUCUGCAAGAUCUGAUGUAUGUAGUUGCCCACUAGAAGGAGCCGAGGCAGAUGAUGUGCCUCGGAGACAUAUUCUAGAAAACAAAAGAAUUUUUUGCUCUCAGACAAUGAACCAGAAAGUUUCCUC
Triticum urartu is the source of this 360-nucleotide non-coding RNA. Lineage: Eukaryota; Viridiplantae; Streptophyta; Magnoliopsida; Poales; Poaceae. The record is from RefSeq and is a predicted model, not a curated record.